ACGGAAGUAGCUCAAUUGGUAGAGUAGUGGUCUCCAAAACCAUUGGUUGUGGGUUCGAGUCCCUCCUUCCGUGCCA
This 76-nucleotide transfer RNA is filed under the name Verrucomicrobiia bacterium Tous-C4TDCM. Its description in RNAcentral is "Verrucomicrobiae bacterium Tous-C4TDCM tRNA-Trp". It matches the Rfam family "tRNA". From Rfam's summary of the family: Transfer RNA (tRNA) molecules are approximately 80 nucleotides in length. Their secondary structure includes four short double-helical elements and three loops (D, anti-codon, and T loops). Lineage: Bacteria; Pseudomonadati; Verrucomicrobiota; Verrucomicrobiia. RNAcentral also lists the same sequence under 2 other names. The record is from RNAcentral.